RNAcentral lists this long non-coding RNA (1687 nucleotides) under Gallus gallus (chicken). Its description in RNAcentral is "lncRNA (ENSGALG00010012575.1)". Lineage: Eukaryota; Metazoa; Chordata; Aves; Galliformes; Phasianidae. The record is from RNAcentral.
CUACCCUUAGCAAUUCCUCCCCCGCCAUGCUGCUGUGUUAAGAGUCCUGGAAAUAGCGACAUUAUUACAAGUACCUGGUGAUGAGACCCAUGAGACCUCCUAGCACUACAGCCUCAGAGCAGACAGCUAAAGCCAUUUAAUCGAGCCAUACACUUUAAUUUAGGCACCCGGAUAAUCUCCUCUUUGUUAUUCCUCACGUGUUGCCUUUUUUCUUCUGAGAAGCUUUGUUUCUUCUGACUAUCCUGACUGCAGAUGGAUACCAAAGUGUGAGGUGUGAUGGUGCAGCCUUAGACAACAGCUGCUGCAGAAUCAGCUCCUGCUGUCCACCUAGAAGUGCACAAGCACCAAUGUCCUGGAACUGCGAGUGGAGUGAGCAUCACAGGGCUGCAGACUCCUUAGAGGAAACAAAACCCCCCUCCAAGGAGCAGCAGGAGGUGGCACAGACUCACUGGCCACAAGGAGCAGUCCCUGCCCACGGGCCCUGAAGGAUGAGCCCACAGAUUCAAGAAGAACCGGCUGUUGUCAGUGUGGCCACUCAACAACCUCUGACUGACCACUGUGACUGGGAGAAGUGCCCCACAAGGGCAGGAGGACCCAGGAAACUAAAGGCCAGUCAACCUCAAAUUGGAGAGGGAAGGUGAUGAAGCAGCUAGUCCUGGAAACCACUUCCAGACAUAUAAGCCACAGGAAAAUCAUCACAAGUAGACAGCUUGGAAUCACCAACAACUCAUCCUUGACCAACUUGGUAAAGCUUCAGUAUUGAAACAACCACAUCCAGUUCUGGACUCCCCAAGGGGGCCAUGGAACUACAGGAAAUACUUCAGCAAAAGGUUGCUAAGAUGAAGGGACUGCAAUGUUUCCCAUGUGAGGAAAAGCUAAGGGAACUGGGACUGGCCAGCCCAGGGGCAUCUCAUCAACACACACAAAUACCUGAAGAAGGGAGAGUACAAAGAGGAGAGAGACAGAUUCUUUUCAGUGGUGCCUAAUGACAAGACAAAAGGUAGCAGGCACAAACUGAAGCAGAGGAGGCUCUGUCUGACCAUCAGGAGGCACUUCUGUUCUAUGCAAACAAUGGAGAAUUGGCAUAGUUGCCCAGAGAGCUUCUGGACUCUCCUCCUUUGAGGAGCUCCAAAAGCCACCUGGACAUGGUCCUGGGCAUCUGCUCUGGGCAGCACUACUGGAGAGGGGCUGGGCCAGAGGACACAGAGGUCCCUUCUAACCUCAAUCAGUCAAUGAUUCUGUGAAGAAAAGUUUAAAUCAUACAUGCAGAAAACGGCUGCAGACCUUAAAACAGUGCCUGAUUCCUUCUGCUGUCUCCUGAACCAGCUAGUCCUCUCUGACUUGCUAUUCAGCACCUUCUUGUAAUCAUCGAGAACACUUCUAAUUGGCCACUAUAGAAUACCACAUCUCUAGCAUACUCAUACCACAUCUGAAUUACUCACUGCUCCUGCUUUGAAUCACGACCAAUGAUGAUUGGACUAGAUCCUCUUGUAGAUCCUUUCCAACCCUGUGGUUCUACGAUUCUAUGGGGGUACAGCCUUGGAGAAAGGAAAUAAUAUAAAGGUGAAGAUACCUGCAAAAAAGGACAUCUCCUUCAGCCCUUCCAACUGCACGAGCAGCAGAAUAAACUGAUUACAAAACCCGCAGGCAUUUUCUCUGGCAGGACAGAGAAACAUAUUACUAAGAG